GGGGGUGGUGGUGGCUUUCACUUCACCUCAACUACUGGAAAAUAAAUGACUUCAAGAGAAAAAAAAUGAAAUCAAAUAAAUGUCUUAAAGUACUGAACUUGAUUUGUCUUACCUUUAAAAGUAAGAUAGGGCUCAGUUAAAAGUAACUAUUAGAGGACCUUAGUCCCCUGGACUCACCCUAAGACUCCCAGCCAAAAGGUUUUAUUUGCUAGUACAGGGUACCUAGAACAAAGAACAAAUUGCAAUGGGGUGUGACAAACAAAAAAGUAAAACAACAGCAAGAAAAUUUUUAAUUAACAAUUUUAACUAAUAUUAAUUACCUUUUGGAUCAUUAAAAGAAAAACAAAAGCAUCAACAAAAAUCUUCUAUGAUUAAUUUUUACAAUUUGUCAGUUUGUUGACAGGAAAAUCUGAGCCUACAUUGUUACCACUGAUAGAGUUUCUGAAUCUAGAAGACCUGAUUCUAUUCUUGACACUACCUCCCAUAGCCUUUAAACAUUUAAGUUCUAUGCCUCACACUCCCUGGCAACCUCAUCUAGAUGUUACAAAGACAGAUCAGAGUAAAAAGAUACAAACUAUUCCCUUCUAUUAUACAUAUAUAGGAAAGACUUUCAAGACCAGAGAGGACUACUAUAGAUAUUAAACUUUAAGGAUCCCUUCCUAAAGAACAGUGGUUCUCAAAUUUUAGCAUGCAUCAGAAUUACCUGGAGGGCUUCUUAAAUGCAGAAAGCUCCCUCCCUAAGUAGAAUUUGCCUUCUAAGAGUUCCCAGGUGAUGCUGAUGUUGAUACUGAUGCGGCUAAGUCAGUGGACCACUCUUUGAAAACACUGUUUUAGAAUGCUGGAAGGUAUGCCAUAUCCAUUAUCCACACUGUCUCCAUACCCAUGAGGGUUGGGGUAGAAGACUAGCAACCAAACAAAUUUUUACCCAUCCACAUAACAUCCAGUUGUCUUUCUCCCUGGCUUUCAUUUAUCCACUAUAAAACAAUCUUACAAUAAUACCCUAGAGAUCCUUUCAUAAGUGGAAGAUAGAUCCUUUCAUAAUUCAUUUUUCCUACAAACUCUAAGCAACAAGUUUCUUUUUUUUUCUUUUUCUUUUUUGUCUUUUUGCCAUUUUUUGGGCCGCUGCCUCGGCAUGUGGAGGUUCCCAGGCUAGGGGUCUAACUGGAGCUGUAGCCGCCAGCCUACGCCACAGUAUGACCCUAAAAAGACCAAAAAAAAAAAAAAAAAAAAGAUACAGGUGAAGAACAGAAUUAUGUACAAAUCCAGCUUAACUGUCUUCCCCCAACCUUCUAUCCUAUGCUAUUGCCAAAUUAAGAAAAAAAUUGAUAACUCAGUUUCCAGAAAUUGACAGUAUAAUCCAAUUGUUUCAUCAUGAAAAUAGUUGGAAGAAAAUAUUUAAAAGAAAUGGUGCCCUCUCUUUGAAUCAGGUCAUCAAUCUUCUUAGAAGUAAAAAUAGAACAAAAAUAACAGACAGGACAUCGUGUAACAUGUAUUUUCACAUACGAAAGAUUAUUUUCCAAUCCUAUAGCUAAAAUCUUUCCAAAAAAUAGUACAGUCCUCCUUAGUGCCUAAUUAUAUGUAUGUAUUAGUAUGCUUCAACAUAGAAGAGUGUUACCUUAGAGAGUGGUAUUCUUUACUACUGCUGAAAAAGUAGGAAAAAAAUAACAAGCUGCUCUCUAUAUUAAGAAUCACAUUCAGGCAUAAAGGAAAACAAAGAAUUACUGUCCUAUGAAAUACACACCAAGUUGCACUCUGUCCCCAAAUCCUAGUAUCACUGUAUUUGGGGCAUUGAAUGUGCACCACUGGAAGGGAAUGGAGGAAAUGAAUAAAGCUGCAUGAUCUGGGUUGGAGGGGACUGGGACUUGUAGUAACAUGUUCUUGCUCAAAAUGCCCAGAAAAACUUUAUUAGAUCAACCUUAAAUUACUGGCAGAUUAUGAACUGGUUUCAGCAGAGGACAGAGAUACUGUAGGAAAACUUUUUAUUCUGCUGUACUGGUACUUGACAGAAAUUUCAGGUGCACUUACAUAAGGCUUCAAAUGCAUUUAAGUAAGUAUUUCUUGGCUUUUUAUUUUUUUUUAAAGCCUGAAGAAUGCUCUUUCACAAGUAAUACAAAGUAGUAGGAACACAUAUUUAGCUAACUUAAUAGCAAUGAAACCUCCCACUUUGCUGCAGUAAAACAUUAUGGCAAACCCCCUUCUAGAGGAUAGGAAAGUGUUAUUGCAUUUCUUUUCCAGAAAUGAAUAUACUCAAUCAGCAAGUGUUCUCAAAAGCACCAAAUAACUCCUUCCAAGGAAGCUUGUUUUCUGAACUCUUCACCCUGCAUAAUUUCUGAAUUUUUCUCCUCUCCUCUUUCCUAAUUUUAACAUAAUCAGGUGUGAAUCCAAAAACAGGUGUUUCCUAUUUGCAUUUGCUGCAGAAAAAAAACCUUAAUGUUCUUUAGGGAAUGUAUGGGUGAAUGCUGGAAGAGAAUGGUAAAAGAUAAAAUAAUAAUGAAUAAAACAAACCCAAGAAUAUUGUUUCUCUGCUUAUACUGCUGCCAAGAAGAUGAUAUAAAUUUCCUCUCCUUGUGGAGAAUUACCUAAUUAUAGAAAAAAGCAUGCUCUUUGCUUAUAAUAUCAAAAGUGGAUAUUUUAGAAUGAUACAAGCUGUCCUCUAAAAAUAGGGCCAGAAAAGAGAAGUGUGGUAACUGCAGCAUUUGGGGGAUUGGCAGGAAGCACCAUCUCAAUACACAUCAAUCAUACCUUUGUCAUCACCUCUCUAUCCCCUCAGCUCCUCGAGAAGCAGUUAGCAACUGUGGUCUCCAGAUCAGCAGCAGCAGCAGCAGCACCAGCACCAGCUGGGAACUAAUUAGAAAAUCCAAAACACUGGGCCCCACCGUAGACCUACAGAAUCAGAAACUGAUGGUAGAACAUAGGAAUCCGUCUCAACAAGCCUUCCAUGGGAUUCUGACUUGACGAGCCUUACAGAAACUUACUGUCUUCCAGUUCAUUCUGGCUUUUAAUCACAUGAGACCAGAAUUGUUACUAAAUAUUUCUACAGGCAUACAUUCUCCAACUAAUUUAUGAGAUCCUUGGGGUAAAAAUUCUCUUUCCUUGCCCUCUUUGCUUUCCCUUAUCCACCAGUACCUUACAUAAAGCCAGGAAGUAAAAGAAAACCUAAGGAGCAUUCACAAUGCAGCAACGGGGAGGAGGUCUUUGGGGAAGAGUUCUCCCUUUUGGAAUAUGAUAUGCCCAUCUACCUGAGAUAGAUCUAUCUCCCUUAGUUAUGAUCUAGGAAUAAAAGGGUGCAGUUCCCCAAUAUAUAGUCUAAAGAGGAUUCAUUCAUUCUCAGGAUGGAAGUGCUCAGCUUCAGAAUUUGGAUAAUCCAACUGAAAAACAAAAACUGCACAAAAUAUUUCCCCCAAAGGCUUGGUAACCUGGAAUACAGAGGAAAGAAAAGGUAGCACUUCUUUUUCAGAAGCACACAGUAGGGGUCAUAUACAUAGACAUGUUCAUUGUUACCCCCGGCCAGAAAUAACCUUCCAAACUCUUUUAAUAUGAAAAUGCUGUUCUAGUUGCCUUCUCUUUACCACAUCUGAACAUAAAAGGCAAAUAUCUCCCCUCACACACAGGGUGUCCUCACUAUCCUUGAGUAAAAUGGAACUAGUGGCUCUGUUGCUAAUGAGUCAGGUUCUGAGUUUAAUAAAUGUCAGGAGCAUAGUGGUGAUUCCUGGGGAGGCUCUAACCGCAGGGGAAUUGCUCCACCUGGCAUAAAUAAAUGAAAUGUGUUCAGAUGUGUUUGUUAGCACUGAUCAUGUAUCCUAUUAAACUGAACGUGCAGACAUGUUCCACAUUAUGAUAGAAAGCAUCACCUUAGCCUGAACCUGAUUUUUUUUCCUCCUUGAGUGGAGGGGUGGGGGAGAUUUAUAUAACGUUUUUUUGUAAUUGAAGAAUAGUUGAUUUAUGAUGUUGUGUUAGUUUCAGGUGUACAGCAAAGUGAUAGUUACAUGUAUGUGUGUGUAUACAUAUAUUCUUUUUCAGAUUCUUUUCUAUUACAGGUUAUUAUAAGAUACUAAAUAUAGUUCCAUGUGCCAUAUACUUUGGACUUAAUAUUUUUAAGAAGUGACUGACCACUUGAGUGAGGCUUCUCUCCUGUUCUUCCACUUCUGCAAUUAAUACACCCACAGUUUCUUCAAGCUGAUCUGAAAAGGGGCCCUGUUUUGGACUGAAUAUUUGUGCACCCUGAAAAUUUUUAUAUGUUGAAACUAACUCUCAUGGUAUUUGGAGGUAAGGCCCUCAGAAGGUAAUUAGGUUCAGGUGAGGUCCUGAGGCUGGUGCCCUUGUGAUGGGAUUGGGGUCCUCAUUAGACAACAGAGAGCUUGCCCAUGUAUGCUCUCUCUCCUCCCUCCUCUCCCCCUCCACCAUGUAAGGACAAAGCAAGAAAGCAGCUGUCUAUGAACCCAGAAGAGGGCUUUCACCAGAUACCAAAUCUGCCAGCCCCUUGAUCUUGGAUUGCCCAGAACUGUAAGAAAUAAAUGUUCAUGCUUUAAACUACCCAAUCCGUCAUGUUCUGUUAUAGCAUACUGAACAGACUGAACAUCCCUUUAUGGCUUCAUGCUAGACCUCUAACUGUAAGUCCUUAGCAAAGAGAGGAAAACUUUUUGUUUGCAUAUGCCAAUACAUGUGUGAGCUGAAUCAUGUGUAUGCAGUCCAGCUGGACCAAUGUAAGCAGUGACCUACAGAGAGGAAAUGGUAGGCAAUGGGUGCCUAUCCUCAAGAAACUAAGUAAUGUCUAUGAGCCAGGUAAUCAGACAGCAACAGAGAACUGCCAGACCUGAGAACCAAGUGCACACUAAGGCAAGAGGCAUUCUCAGCAGAAAUGACUGCCAUGCCUCCACUGCCGUGAACUUAGGAGUUGGGAAGAACUCUAAAAAUGACAAAGGUCAAAUUUCUCUCUAGCUUGGUGGAAAUGGGGAAGGUCCUCUGCUGAAAAUUAAGCUAUCCAAGAAGAAUUUUUACAUUGUGAAUAUUUCUUUUUGACCUGAGUUUUAUACUUGUGACACACAUGGCUCCUGAUCAAGAGCCCUUAGAGGAGUAUACAUGUCAAAUCUAUGUCUCUGCAGAGCAAGUAUGAGAUAU
Molecule: long non-coding RNA, 5118 nt
Filed under: Sus scrofa (pig)
Lineage: Eukaryota; Metazoa; Chordata; Mammalia; Artiodactyla; Suidae
Description: lncRNA (ENSSSCG00060041731.1)
Source: RNAcentral